UUAUUCAAACUCAGUGAACCAAAUCGUGUCCCUAAAAUUUAAGUCUGGAGAAAAAUUUUAAAUUUUUAAUAAAAAGUUUCUCUGUAUUUUCAGCAGCACAGUAAUUUAAACAGCCAGACAUCAUCCAAAACCCUUCAGGAAUUGUUCUUCUCCCCACAGAUUUCAUGUUCCCAGCAAUCUCUGUACAAAGCUGUCAGCUCUAAGUGCGCUGGGAGACAAUAUUGGCAUUGGCAUGUACCCAGUACAAAAAUAAGUGGAGAAACGGACAUACAAGUGAAGUCCCAUUUAAAGCAUCAUUUGGAGCAUCGCCUUGCUUGAAGGCUAAAGCAGUCUGUUGGACGUCAGGCAGCACUUGAGGAUGAAAGUCGAGCUGCCUUGGGAAAUACAGAGGCUUUUACUCUGAGGUCCAAAGAAAAAACCUGCAGAUGCAUGCAAAUUCCAGUGCACUUUCAGAUGGAUUUCCACAGAAGGAUAAAACCUGUUUAUCAGAAGAGGAGUUAUUCUUCAAAAGGCACAUGACAGCAAUAAAGAGAAGGGUAAAUGUAAAUAUUUGGGUCCUACCAACACUGAGAACAGAUGAAAUACCUCGCUUGAAGAGCCCUAAGAUUAGUGAUGACAAGGGAGACAACAGAGCGAUGACAGACUCAUUGAAGAGUGCUUUGUUAGAAACUGUUUGUUUAGCUGAAAAUGAGCAUUCCAGUCAGGAUAAUGGAGGAGACAGACCUGUCUACAGUGAAUCCUCAUCACAAAGUACAGUUCAGUUGGAGCCCCAGUCUGCGAGCAGGGCUGAAAAAACAAAGUCUUCUACUCCUUUAAAAAAAGAAAAGGAGUACU
Caretta caretta (loggerhead turtle) is the source of this 834-nucleotide non-coding RNA. NCBI's taxonomy places the organism in Eukaryota, Metazoa, Chordata, Testudines, Cheloniidae. The record is from RefSeq and is a predicted model, not a curated record.